GAACGGCUCUUCGGAGCAGUGGCGGACGGGUGAGUAACGCGUGGGAACGUGCCCUUUGGUUCGGAACAACACAGGGAAACUUGUGCUAAUACCGAAUGUGCCCUUCGGGGGAAAGAUUUAUCGCCAUUGGAGCGGCCCGCGUUGGAUUAGCUAGUUGGUGGGGUAAAGGCCCACCAAGGCGACGAUCCAUAGCUGGUCUGAGAGGAUGAUCAGCCACACUGGGACUGAGACACGGCCCAGACUCCUACGGGAGGCAGCAGUAGGGAAUCUUGCGCAAUGGGCGAAAGCCUGACGCAGCCAUGCCGCGUGAAUGAUGAAGGUCUUAGGAUUGUAAAAUUCUUUCACCGGGGAAGAUAAUGACGGUACCCGGAGAAGAAGCCCCGGCUAACUUCGUGCCAGCAGCCGCGGUAAUACGAAGGGGGCUAGCGUUGCUCGGAAUUACUGGGCGUAAAGGGCGCGUAGGCGGACAGUUUAGUCAGAGGUGAAAGCCCAGGGCUCAACCUUGGAAUUGCCUUUGAUACUGGCUGUCUUGAGUUCGGGAGAGGUGAGUGGAAUGCCGAGUGUAGAGGUGAAAUUCGUAGAUAUUCGGCGGAACACCAGUGGCGAAGGCGACUCACUGGCCCGAUACUGACGCUGAGGCGCGAAAGCGUGGGGAGCAAACAGG
RNAcentral lists this ribosomal RNA (664 nucleotides) under uncultured Alphaproteobacteria bacterium. Its description in RNAcentral is "bacterial SSU rRNA". It matches the Rfam family "Bacterial small subunit ribosomal RNA", at positions 64 to 776 of the family's 1533-position model. The record is from RNAcentral. Lineage: Bacteria; Pseudomonadati; Pseudomonadota; Alphaproteobacteria.